AUACGGAGGUUGCGAGCGUUAAUCGGAAUUACUGGGCGUAAAGCGUACGUAGGCGGUUCGUUAAGUUAGAUGUGAAAGCCCCGGGCUUAACCUGGGAACUGCAUUUAAAACUGGCGAACUAGAGUUGAGUAGAGGGGAGUGGAAUUUCAGGUGUAGCGGUGAAAUGCGUAGAGAUCUGAAGGAACACCAGUGGCGAAGGCGACUCCCUGGACUCGAACUGACGCUGAGGUACGAAAGCGUGGGUAGCAAACGGGAUUAGAAACCCUUGUAGUCC
This 274-nucleotide ribosomal RNA is filed under the name uncultured bacterium. RNAcentral's name for it is "partial 16S ribosomal RNA". It matches the Rfam family "Bacterial small subunit ribosomal RNA", at positions 523 to 796 of the family's 1533-position model. The record is from RNAcentral.